RNAcentral lists this unclassified non-coding RNA (418 nucleotides) under uncultured fungus. Its description in RNAcentral is "partial contains 5.8S ribosomal RNA and internal transcribed spacer 2". The stretch from base 2 to 133 matches the Rfam family "5.8S ribosomal RNA", at positions 23 to 154 of the family's 154-position model. Lineage: Eukaryota; Fungi. The record is from RNAcentral.
AGGCUCUCGCAUCGAUGAAGAACGCAGCGAAAUGCGAUACGUAAUGUGAAUUGCAGAAUUCAGUGAAUCAUCGAAUCUUUGAACGCAUAUUGCGCUCUUUGGUAUUCCGAGGAGCAUGCUUGUUUGAGUAUCAGUAAAUACCUCAAAGCUUUUGGAUUUUUUUUGAAAGUUUUGGACUUGAGCAAUCCCAACACCAAUCUUUUUCAGAUCGGCGGCGGGUUGCUUGAAAUGCAGGUGCAGCUGGACAUUCUCCUGAGCUAAAAGCAUAUUCAUUUAGUCCCGUCAAACGGAUUAUUACUUUUGCUGCAGCUAACAUAAAGGGAGUUUGACCGUAUUGGCUGACUGAUGCAGGAUUUUACAAGGGUCGGCGACGAUUCUUGUUAAACUCGAUCUCAAAUCAAGUAAGACUACCCGCUGA